Mirounga angustirostris (Northern elephant seal) is the source of this 1146-nucleotide long non-coding RNA. RefSeq lists it as uncharacterized. The record is from RefSeq and is a predicted model, not a curated record. Lineage: Eukaryota; Metazoa; Chordata; Mammalia; Carnivora; Phocidae. The transcript is spliced from 2 exons.
UCUCCCCUUAGCCUGCCCUCCUGUCAGGGGUCACAGGUGUCAAAGAAAAAUGUCGCAGGACUUUGGAAGGUAAUAUUUUUUUCCCACUAGCUAGAAGACUGGAACAGAAAAUUGUUCAAAAGAUAGAAGUGGGAUGUCUGGAUGGUGAGGGAAAGAUUUGGUCAGCCCAGGAGCAGGAGGGUGGAACAUAGCAGCUGAGAAAAAUGAGGGGUUUUUGCGGGGUGGGGGGUUGUAAAAUCAGCAAGCAGAGGAUGGGGAUCCUGGAUGAAUGGGAGACUAGGGAGAAGCCAGAGUUGCAGGGUGGCCCCUUGCUGCUGCUGCUGCUGGUCCUCAGAGGGCCUUUCAAACACCACAAGGAUUCUCUGACAUUGCUCCCCCGGGGAUCGGGGCCUGAGGGAAUCAGCCCCCUGCUUGGGCCCCCUUGCCCCACGCUGCCCUGCUUGAGCAAGUGUCGCUGUCCCCCACCCCAGGCCCGUGGCACACAGCUCUAUUACCCACGCACAGGAACUGCUCUGCAAUAAAGUAAACCAAGGUAAUGGGAAUGACUGAUGCAGAGGGCGACCCCCCAGAGAGCUGGGCCUGCUGCUGCCCCUCUUCCCUGCGCCAGUGAUCGCCAUUAAAACCGCCGUGCCAUGCUAGGAGUUGGGACCACCAAAGUCAAGUACUCUGUGGCAAUGUUUUCUGCCAUCAAGGAGUUGGCUGGCGGGCUGGAGCUCAUCAAGAACCAGACCUCAGGAUGAUACUCACGGGUUUCCCUUGGAGCACAACUAAGAGGUCGGGAAAGAAGGCUUCCCGGAGGCAGUACUGCUUGGGCCAAGUUUUUAAGGAUGAGUAGGCAUCAGCCAAACCAAGGGUAGAAGGACAUGCUUUCCAGAGACAGAUACUAAUGCAUCGGUUAGGAAUUACCUUCAAUUGCUGAUGUAGUUCAGAAACAGCAAUUGCUUAAACAAGAUUCAAGUUUACUUCUUUCUGGGGACGCCUGGGUGGCUCAGUUGGUUAAGCAUCUGCCUUCGGCUCAGGUCAUGAUCCUCGGGUCCUGGGGUCGAGCCCUGUGUCAGACCCCCUGCUCAGCAGGGAGCCUGCUUCUCCCUCUCCCUCUGCCUGCCACUCCCCUUGCUUGUGCUCUCUCUCUCUCUGUCAAAUAAA